RNAcentral lists this long non-coding RNA (276 nucleotides) under Trifolium pratense (red clover). Its description in RNAcentral is "long non-coding RNA (TPRA_LNC001394)". The record is from RNAcentral. Lineage: Eukaryota; Viridiplantae; Streptophyta; Magnoliopsida; Fabales; Fabaceae.
CUGCACUUCGUCACUUGCAUUAUCAUGGCUCAUCUCUUCAUUAGCUAACAUCAGUGUUGGAGUUUCAGCAUGCUCUUCAAAGUGAGGAGUGAGAUUUACAUCAUCCUGCUCUUCAAAGUUAGGAGUAAGAUUUACAUCAGCAUCAGCAUUCUCUACAAAGUUAGGAGUAAUGUUUACAUCAAACAUCUCAGUGUCUUCCGACCAAUUUCCACUAGCUUCCUCAUUACCAACAACCAAACCUAAUUCAUUGUAGUUCUCUAUUCUUUUGUCCCGCAG